UGCGUAGGUGGUGAGGUAAGUCGGAUGUGAAAUCUCCGAGCUCAACUCGGAAAUGGCAUUGGAAACUACCUUGCUCGAGGGUUGGAGGGGGGACUGGAAUGCUUGGUGUAGCAGUGAAAUGCUUAGAUAUCAAGCGGAACACCAGUGGCGUAGGCGAGUCCCUGGACAACUCCUGACACUGAGGCACGAAAGCUAGGGGAGCAAACA
This 207-nucleotide ribosomal RNA is filed under the name uncultured bacterium. RNAcentral's name for it is "partial 16S ribosomal RNA". It matches the Rfam family "Bacterial small subunit ribosomal RNA", at positions 568 to 774 of the family's 1533-position model. The record is from RNAcentral.